Molecule: long non-coding RNA, 1015 nt
Filed under: Takifugu rubripes (torafugu)
Lineage: Eukaryota; Metazoa; Chordata; Actinopteri; Tetraodontiformes; Tetraodontidae
Description: lncRNA (ENSTRUG00000030766.1)
Source: RNAcentral
CAGGGCUCAGGAUGGGGUGUUGGUGACCAAAGCCCUUUUGUCUUGGUCCUUGAGAGACCAAGUGUCAGGCCCUCUUUGAUCCUUUGAUCUGUUACACUUGUUUGUUCUUACUUCUGUGUGAGGCCAGACGCACAGUCACGGACCGCUCCAGAGCUUGCAUCAACCUGGCAUCACUCACAUGAUCACCUCUUCCCUCUCAAUGUCCAAAUGGCCUGAGUAGCCGCCCAGUUUUUGGUUCUCAUUUUUGCUUGACCGCCUUUGAUAUCAUCACCCGCUGCAUCACUGGCAUUGCCCCCUCCUGGUCCAAGUUUUACCUACCUGGCUGGUGAUUCAGGGUGCCAAGGAAAGGUCCGCUUUUGGCUCAUCACCAGAUCUUCACUGGGGUUCCCCAUGGAUAGGUGCCGGGGCCAAUGCUCUUUGUCAUAUAAAUGACGUCGCAAGAGGCGAUUAAUCACUUGGAUGUUUUUUGUUUUUUUUUAUACCAGAACUAUGCAGAUGAAACAAAGCUGAACCUUUUGUUUCUGCCAGAUGAAGGAAUAGACAUUAGAGCAGUGGAACUCUGAGUCCCAAUUUGAUAUCGCUGGUUCCACCUGCGGCAUCUUGGUGUGAUGCAGAAAAGUUGGAUCACUGCUUUUUGAAGAGGACAGCGAGGUCGUCAACGGUCCCAAAGGAGUUCCCAGAGACGCUGAGCACAUGUUGGCCCUUUUGCAUUACACUGCGGCCCAGCUCAUCCGAAACCAUCUUGAUUGGGUUUAGGUCAGGUAAGACUGGAGGCCAGGUCAUCUUGAUUUUUUCUCCCACCUCUCUCUCUCUCUCCCUGUCCUUUGAGUCUGUCUCGAAUGUGUGUCUCCCCCACCAGAGUAGACCCAACAGAGCCCGACUGGCUGUUGGCCUAAUGACAUAAUGAGAUAAGAGCUGCACGUAAGCGGAGGCUCCAUCUGGCUCAGUCCAACUCUUUUGGACACUGUCCCUUUUGCUUGUGCAAUAAAGUUCAGUGAAAAUGUGAAAAAACGAC